AGAGUUUGAUCCUGGCUCAGGACGAACGCUGGCGGCGUGCUUAACACAUGCAAGUCGAACGAGAAUCUGUGGAUCGAGGAUUCGUCCAAGUGAAGCAGAGGGCAGUGGCGGACGGGUGAGUAACGCGUGAGGAACCUGCCUUUCAGAGGGGGACAACAGUUGGAAACGACUGCUAAUACCGCAUGAUACAUUUGGGUGGCAUCAUCUGAAUGUCAAAGAUUUAUCGCUGAAAGAUGGCCUCGCGUCUGAUUAGCUGGUUGGUGAGGUAACGGCCCACCAAGGCGACGAUCAGUAGCCGGACUGAGAGGAUGAACGGCCACAUUGGAACUGAGACACGGUCCAGACUCCUACGGGAGGCAGCAGUGGGGAAUCUUCCGCAAUGGGCGCAAGCCUGACGGAGCAACGCCGCGUGAGUGAAGAAGGGUUUCGACUCGUAAAGCUCUGUUGUCGGGGACGAACGUGGAGACGGCGAAUAGCCGUUUCCAAUGACGGUACCUGACGAGGAAGCCACGGCUAACUACGCGCCAGCAGCCGCGGUAAUACGUAGGUGGCGAGCGUUGUCCGGAAUUAUUGGGCGUAAAGGGAGCGCAGGCGGGAAGGUAAGUCUAUCUUAAAAGUGCGGGGCUCAACCCCGUGAGGGGAUGGAAACUAUCUUUCUUGAGUGCAGGAGAGGAAAGCGGAAUUCCUAGUGUAGCGGUGAAAUGCGUAGAUAUUAGGAGGAACACCAGUGGCGAAGGCGGCUUUCUGGACUGUAACUGACGCUGAGGCUCGAAAGCGUGGGGAGCGAACAGGAUUAGAUACCCUGGUAGUCCACGCCGUAAACGAUGAAUGCUAGGUGUAGGAGGUAUCGACCCCUUCUGUGCCGGAGUUAACGCAAUAAGCAUUCCGCCUGGGGAGUACGGCCGCAAGGCUGAAACUCAAAGGAAUUGACGGGGGCCCGCACAAGCGGUGGAGUAUGUGGUUUAAUUCGACGCAACGCGAAGAACCUUACCAGGGCUUGACAUUGAGUGAAAGGACAAGAGAUUGUCCCCUCUCUUCGGAGGCACGAAAACAGGUGGUGCAUGGCUGUCGUCAGCUCGUGUCGUGAGAUGUUGGGUUAAGUCCCGCAACGAGUGCAACCCCUAUUCUUUGUUGCCAGCACGUAAUGGUGGGAACUCAAAGGAGACUGCCGCGGACAACGCGGAGGAAGGCGGGGAUGACGUCAAGUCAUCAUGCCCCUUAUGUCCUGGGCUACACACGUACUACAAUGGGAUGGACAGAGAGCAGCAAAGCCGCGAGGCCAAGCGAACCCCAUAAACCAUCUCCCAGUUCGGAUUGCAGGCUGCAACCCGCCUGCAUGAAGUUGGAAUCGCUAGUAAUCGCAGGUCAGCAUACUGCGGUGAAUACGUUCCCGGGCCUUGUACACACCGCCCGUCACACCACGGAAGUCAUUCACACCCGAAGCCGGCAGGCUAACCUUUUGGAGGCAGCCGUCUAAGGUGGGGGCGAUGACUGGGGUGAAGUCGUAACAAGGUA
This 1515-nucleotide ribosomal RNA is filed under the name metagenome. RNAcentral's name for it is "bacterial SSU rRNA". It matches the Rfam family "Bacterial small subunit ribosomal RNA". The record is from RNAcentral.